Molecule: ribosomal RNA, 449 nt
Filed under: uncultured bacterium
Lineage: Bacteria
Description: partial 16S ribosomal RNA
Rfam family: Bacterial small subunit ribosomal RNA
Source: RNAcentral
AGCGAACGCUGGCGGCAGGCCUAACACAUGCAAGUCGAACGAAGCCUUCGGGCUUAGUGGCGGACGGGUGAGUAACACGUGGGAACGUACCUUUUGGUUCGGAACAACUCAGGGAAACUUGAGCUAAUACCGGAUGAGCCCUUAGGGGGAAAGAUUUAUCGCCGAAAGAGCGGCCCGCGUUAGAUUAGCUAGUUGGUGAGGUAAAGGCUCACCAAGGCAACGAUCUAUAGCUGGUCUGAGAGGAUGAUCAGCCACACUGGGACUGAGACGCGGCCCAGACUCCUACGGGAGGCAGCAGUGGGGAAUCUUGCGCAAUGGGCGAAAGCCUGACGCAGCCAUGCCGCGUGAAUGAUGAAGGUCUUAGGAUUGUAAAAUUCUUUUACCAGGGACGAUAAAGACGGUACCUGGAGAAAAAGCCCCGGCUAACUUCGUGCCAGCAGCCGCCGUAA